Long non-coding RNA from Papaver somniferum (opium poppy), 1995 nucleotides. RefSeq lists it as uncharacterized. The record is from RefSeq and is a predicted model, not a curated record. NCBI's taxonomy places the organism in Eukaryota, Viridiplantae, Streptophyta, Magnoliopsida, Ranunculales, Papaveraceae. The transcript has 6 exons.
ACCCACCAAAACCCAACUCAAACCCUCAGCCCCACAGAUCUCAUAUUCCAUUUCCAUGGACCCGAACGCUUUCAAACUGAAAGCAGAUGAAUUUCCAGUAGAUGAAACAUUCUUAAAGAAAUUUGGUCCAACAGAUAAAAGAAACUGAAGACGAACCACGUAAAGGUAACUGGGUUGAAAGAAAUUGGGCACCUUGGGAAGAGAUUCUCUCUCCUGAAGCUGAUUUUGCUAGAAGAAUUUCAAAUGAAGGUGAAGAAGUAGCAUUAACAUCACCUGAAGCAAUUGAAGCUUUUAGAAUGUUAAGACAAACACAAGAUUGGAAGAAGAGUUUUAUAAGCUUGAGCUUCCAUUCUACUAUCCUGGAUAGGUAAAUUAUUGAUGAUUUUGUGGUGAAAUUUAAUCUUCAAAUAGUUACCAGCUGAUAUACGUGGUGUACCAUGUGUUUGUGGCCGAGCUGAAGCUAGAGGUGGUGUACUAGUUUGUGAUGGUUGUGAUAGACAGUUUUAUUUGGGUUGUUGCUGAAAGUGUUCUCGUCAAGCUAUUGUUUUAGAAGAUUGGAUCUGUUCUUCUUGUUUAGACAGAAUGGUGUUGGUAUUAAGAGAUGGAACUUGGGUUGUGUUUUCAUUAACGUUACUGUUGCUAAUUCCUCCUCCGACGAAUAAACAUACUGCUGUUAGGCCGCUUUUGGAUAUCAAUGUUUCUCCUCCUGGAGAUGCAGAUGUUUUUAAAGAGUUUGGAACGACAUUCUAGGAUGCAUACCUGGGUGAUACCCGUUUUAGUGGCUUUCCGUAUGGUACUCCUGUGAAGUAUCGAAUCUUGUGGCAUCCAGGUGCUGGAUCUGAUGUACAUAAAUUCACACCCCAUCAAAAUAGCUUCUGAAAGGUUCUUAGUCCGCAGACCAACUAUGAAUAAGAGUUAUGAGGAGGCAGAUUUGCACCCUACUCAUAUGAGAAGAUUUUGGAGUAAUAGUUUCUUUAAUUCCUCCCAGAAGGAAGGUGCUUGCUAGACACUCAAGAACUAAUGGUUUUGCUGAUAACCGAGAAGCUCUAAGGAAUAGUUGAAGUGGGGAUUUAUCUUCUGAUGUCGAGAUUGUGGAACCUCAUGCCAGCAAUCUUGGGAGAAGCGCAAGAGUUAAGAAGGACAGGGGAGAAACGGUGGCUGUGCCUCUGGUCGAUCUAAUGAUGGACUUCCGGUUCAGUUUGAAGAUCUCUUCCUUACCUGUUCAAGGAAGGUUGAUUCUCAACCAUCAUAUCAUGAUAGGAGCCGUAUCAGGCCUGUUGGUUACAGAUCUAGUUGGCAUGAUAAGGUUGCUGGAUCUGUUUAUUUGUUUGAUGUACCGGAUGGUGGAAGCUCUAGACCAGUCUUCAAGGUCAGACGAUAUACUUGCUCUGCAUCGGUCAUAUCCGAUGCGUCAAUAGUCCUACUAAGACAAAUUCUUGGUCAGUCCGAAGGUGAAAGCUAAGUAGAAAGUGGAACAGUCACUUUGUCAGACACUAGUGAUACCGAGGUCGCUGACAUUCAGGAUGAAGUUGGUGAGUUUUUGCUGAAGGAAGGUCAUCAACUUCAGCCGUGAAGCCUUUGAGAAUUCUUGCGGUGUUCAGUUCUGUUGCACCCAUGAGUCAAAUAGUAAUCUGUUGCAGAUGCCAAGGACAGAAAUGGUGUUGGUUCCCUGUCCACUUUUAGGUUGCCUCAAGAACAGAUGAUGGUGUCUAAAUAGAGUCUGCCUUAGUCAAACCCUUGGGUGCUAUAAUAGUGAUCCAUGCAGCUAAUCACAUGUUGUGAGACAACUAGACAAGAUUGGCAGGAAAGAGAAGUGAUGUUGCUGUUGGCGUGUGGGUUUUGGGAGAAUUUUCCUGCCGGAAGAGGUAAGGAGAGGAGCUAUGUAUUUCUCUAAGAAAUCAAAUUUUGGGUUUUGAUUGAUUUUACGUUUACCCAUUGUUGAUGGCCAGUUUCACAAUUUUAUACAAAUGUGACUCCAUUAAACUUGUCAGAUAU